GGGGGAGGAGAAGGAGAAAAUGGAAGACAGAGAGGACACAGAGGAGGAGGAAGAAGCAGAAAAGUGGAGCAGAAGCACAUGGUCUGGAGAAACUGCCAGUUCGAAGGUGUCUCAUAAGCUCUGAAAGAUGGAGUGUACUGGGCCCAAGAAGCUCUCCUCUGAGAUAGCUGCCAUAGAGAAGAUCGGAGGACCUGGUUCCUAGAUAAUUCCGGAAGUGACAUCCUGAGUCACCUCUCCAUACCAUAGAGCUGGAAGGGGUUGCUGUCAGGGGUCCAGGAACUCCUCUGCCUAGAAAGGAAAGCUAGCAAUGACCAACUGGGAGGGGGACAAGAGCAUGUGGCUGGAAUGGAAGUGGCCACGAAGGUCACAUCUGGCCUGGUGUCCUCACCUCCUGACACAGGGGUCUGAGAAUCUCCUGUGAUCCCUGCCAGCAUCCACGAGGCAGGCAAGAGAAAGAGUGCUUUGUGAAGGCCCUGAAGCAGAAGACAGAGACAGAAGUGGAACUUCACGAAGAAGCUUGAUCCCAGGGCCACUGGAGUCUGAGGUCCAGUGGAUGGAGAGCCACGAUAAUCCAGAUGACCCAACAGGACCAGCCAAAAUUGGCAUUCUCAGAGCCCUCCUGGAUGCCGAGCAGAUCUUGAUGUAUCUCAGCACUUCUCUGAAGCCUUCCAAACAGGCAGUCUUGCUGGACCAGAGGCUACACAAAAUAAAGGCCUCAUUACCCAUAGCAAACCAAAAAAGAAGAAAAUGCAGCCCAAGAUUGCCAUGGUUACAAGGAUUAGAUGCAAUGGUGGUUAAUUUGCUUUGCACACCCAGUGCUCCUGGUGAACAGUUGUGUCUGAGCAAGAUCUUGACCUGGUCUCUCAUCUGUUUGAGCUUCUGCAGAAUAUUUCAGACCUACAGGAGGAAAAGGAAAAUAGCCUGGUGAGAUCUUUCCAUGUCAGCGAUCCAGCAAAUACCAGCUUUACUCAGCAGGACAAUCCAGUAUCACUUUUCAUCUGAGAUCUUUCCUGUAUCCCCAUAGGAGAAGGGGAAGAGAGCACCUGGGCAUGGAUGUUUUUCUCAAAUGUAAAAAAUUGCUUGACAAUGGAUUGUGAACUACACACUGUGCUGGAGUUAUAGUAAAACACCACAUUUCUCCAAUAGUCUAAUUACUUGAUAUUAAAAAAUAAGUGUGUAUCAGUGUCUGAAUCUAACAUUAAACAGAGGCCUUCUAGGGAGCCUAGCAAACU
This 1232-nucleotide long non-coding RNA is filed under the name Mus musculus (house mouse). RNAcentral's name for it is "predicted gene, 21154". Lineage: Eukaryota; Metazoa; Chordata; Mammalia; Rodentia; Muridae. The record is from RNAcentral.